RNAcentral lists this unclassified non-coding RNA (271 nucleotides) under Glomus sp. RNAcentral's name for it is "partial contains 5.8S ribosomal RNA and internal transcribed spacer 2". The stretch from base 1 to 65 matches the Rfam family "5.8S ribosomal RNA", at positions 84 to 154 of the family's 154-position model. Lineage: Eukaryota; Fungi; Glomeromycota; Glomeromycetes; Glomerales; Glomeraceae. The record is from RNAcentral.
GUGAAUCAUCAAAUUUUUGAACGCAAAUUGCACUCUCCUCGGAGAGUAUGCCUGUUUGAGGGUCAGCCUCUAAAAAAUCGACAUCGUUGCUGUUUCGCGGUGGCGUUCGUCGGAAAUUGGGUUAUCUUAAAUCCUUUUGGGUUUUAAGCGACUUAAAAUUUUCUUUACGAUUCUACGACCGUUUCUAAGAUUUACUUACACGUUUAAGGUAUCGAUCUUUAUUAGACGUGGCCGUUGCAUUGGAUCGCGUCCAUAAAUAUUUAGUUAACUG